CCUACGGGAGGCAGCAGUGGGGAAUUUUCCGCAAUGGGCGAAAGCCUGACGGAGCAAUACCGCGUGAGGGAGGAAGGCUCUUGGGUCGUAAACCUCUUUUCUCUGGGAAGAUAAUGACGGUACCAGAGGAAUAAGCAUCGGCUAACUCCGUGCCAGCAGCCGCGGUAAUACGGAGGAUGCAAGCGUUAUCCGGAAUGAUUGGGCGUAAAGAGUCCGUAGGUGGUACAGAAAGUCUGUGGUUAAAGCGCGAAGCUCAACUUCGUAAAGGCCAUGGAAACUGCUGAACUAGAGUGAGAUAGGGGUAGAGGGAAUUCUUGGUGUAGCGGUGAAAUGCGUAGAUAUCAAGAAGAACACCGGUGGCGAAAGCGCUCUACUGGAUCUUAACUGACACUGAGGGACGAAAGCUAGGGGAGCGAAAGGGAUUAGAUACCCCUGUAGUCCUAGCCGUAAACGAUGGAUACUAGUUGUUGCGGGUAUCGACCCCUGCAGUGACGAAGCUAACGCGUUAAGUAUCCCGCCUGGGGAGUACGCACGCAAGUGUGAAACUCAAAUGAAUUGACGGCNGAGAGNGCGAGACGACACGAGGAGAG
This 590-nucleotide ribosomal RNA is filed under the name uncultured bacterium. RNAcentral describes it as "bacterial SSU rRNA". It matches the Rfam family "Bacterial small subunit ribosomal RNA", at positions 338 to 948 of the family's 1533-position model. The record is from RNAcentral.